RNAcentral lists this ribosomal RNA (607 nucleotides) under uncultured bacterium. RNAcentral describes it as "bacterial SSU rRNA". It matches the Rfam family "Bacterial small subunit ribosomal RNA", at positions 331 to 929 of the family's 1533-position model. The record is from RNAcentral.
CCAGACUCCUACGGGAGGCAGCAGUGGGGAAUCUUCCGCAAUGGGCGCAAGCCUGACGGAGCAACGCCGCGUGAGUGAAGAAGGUCUUCGGAUCGUAAAGCUCUGUUGAUGGGGACGAACGUGCCUAAUGCGAAUAGUAUUAGGCAAUGACGGUACCCAUCGAGGAAGCCACGGCUAACUACGUGCCAGCAGCCGCGGUAAUACGUAGGUGGCGAGCGUUGUCCGGAAUCAUUGGGCGUAAAGGGAGCGCAGGCGGGCAUGUAAGUCUUUCUUAAAAGUGCGGGGCUCAACCCCGUGAUGGGAAAGAAACUAUGUGUCUUGAGUACAGGAGAGGAAAGCGGAAUUCCCAGUGUAGCGGUGAAAUGCGUAGAUAUUGGGAGGAACACCAGUGGCGAAGGCGGCUUUCUGGACGGCAACUGACACUGAGGCUCGAAAGCCAGGGGAGCGAACGGGAUUAGAUACCCCGGUAGUCCUGGCCGUAAACGAUGGAUACUAGGUGUAGGAGGUAUCGACCCCUCCUGUGCCGGAGUUAACGCAAUAAGUAUCCCGCCUGGGGAGUACGGUCGCAAGACUGAAACUCAAAGGAAUUGACGGGGGCCCGCACAAG